AUCAUUAGACGUGACUGAAGUAACAAUGAGAAAGCUGCCUGCUGCUGUAGCUCAACUCUCGUCUUCACAGAUGGGUAGACGUGGUGUUUUAUUAAGCUGCCGUCUUCAACAUUGUCAGCUUGUUCAAACCAAACCGCCAAAGUGCAAAGAGAGAGCGACGGUGCAGAACAAAUAACCUCACUGUUAGAAGUCCUAAAGACUCAUCCUGGCUCAUCUUCUCACAAGCGAAGGUAAGAAGCACAGAUUUGGCUUUUAAGUAGAUUUCCCCCAUUCAGCCAAUACACUAAAAUGUAGGCUUAUCUCAAGGCACAAAACAAGUUGUCUGUGUUGAUUCCUUGCCGUUUUAUUGGAUUGCGCUCCUUCAGUUAACAUGCUCAAAGUGUUGACAGCUCAAUUGAACGUCAACCUGAAUUGGCUAUGGAAGUGUCACUGCUGCGUUUGCUUGUGGGGACGAUGUGAUGAAAUGGCAUGUUUUGUGACGACCCCUAGUCUUUGAGUUGCCUUGUUUCCAAAGGAAACCUAUUACAUAAAUGCCCCGAUGGCUGAGAGAAUUCCUCUCCAUGGAGUCUUUGUUCCUGCCAAAGCUCUGUCGUGAGGUGUCAGGUGUUGACAAAAUUCAACUCUUAUUUCAGCGUGGUAAUGAGAAAACAGAGGAAGCGGACGCUCGCCAUUAUACACUUGGCAUUUGUAAAUAUGACAGCAAAACAAGGAGAAAUACUGAUGUGUUUUGCCAUGAAAGCCCUUUUCAAGCCACAUACAAAUGACCCCCACGUUGUUCCUCAAAUCCUCACCCCAAAAUAAGUAUGAUUUGUUUUUUCACAUCAGACUUGUUCUUGGCAGUUUUAGGGCGCACAGAUGUCCCCUCUUCGCUGUUCAGAUGGCUUGAGGGGGCAGGUACCAUCUGAGUCAUGUCACUGCAGAACUAAGUCAUUUUAACAGCUCCAUGUACUUAUUUUUGACAUGGAGUUCAACCUCAAUGGCACCAUAUUCUCAGAAUAGUAAAUCGCAUAUGACCAGAGACUAUAGGGCCUUGUUCAAAAGGACUGCACUGAAUAGGGAGAAGUAUGCCAACUGGGACACAAACACUGUGCUAAAAAUGUUAAUUAGACCAUAUUUUAAGUGUUUAAUCAAACACAUAGAAGAAACAUUUUGACAAUGUAUUGUUUGUCACCUCUAGAUUAAGAUGUGUGAUCAAAUUACUCAACAUCCUGUAUGACUCAACAGAUGCACUCAUGCUUGAUUUCUUUAAAGGACAUUUAGCAAUUUCUUUUGUGCUGUAUUGAUAGAGGAGAGAAAGCAGGAAGUCAGAAGAAUCUAAACCCAUGCUUCAGUGGUAAAGGUGUCAGGGAGGCCAGGGUUUAGACCACUAGCCUGCCUUCAGGCCACAAAGUCUUUUGUUUGCAUUAAAAAUCCCGUACAGACUGAGCAAGAAAAUGGCACACAGCAAUUGGUGGACCAAUGGGAAAGUGAUGAGGCUUUACAUAGGGCCGUGUUCUUAAAGAGUGAGUAAACAACCAAAGACUUUGAGACUGAAAGUGGUAAGUUGUCUCUAGGGUCGCAUAAAGUCUGGAAUGACACAUCGCCCGUUGACCGUGGGCGGAGUUUAACAAAUGGUUAAUGAAUUGUUACAAAGGCCACAUGUUGCUGUGCACAUGGAGUCCAUAUAUGGGGUUGGUUGCUGAUGGUCAGCGUAAAAGACACGUCCCCUUAACUGGAUACAAACAACGACCAACUGUAGAGGCACAUCAUGAGCUAGAACUCUUCGUCUAGUCCUUGGCCUUUGUUUUAAGCUGGUCAUGAAGGUCAUGCUGUUCCUCACUUUGUCUUUACAAGCCAUAUCCAACAACUUUCCCUGGACCGUUGUUCCAGUGUCUUUCCAUGGAAUCUAAAUCACUGUAAUUGGCCAGGAUUUGGUCCGGUGAAAUGGAUGCUGCUAGUUGUAGACAACAUAUAGGGGCAUAUUAUAAGGACAUAUUAUAAUGUCAAAAUGCAUUUUUGUUAAAUAAUCCGUCUUUUUGAACACACAAGCACUGGGAAAAACCCUGUGGAUUCCUCCUGAGGUACUCAGAGAGCUUGGAGAUUCGACAUUUUAAAAUGACACUGAUUGGGAAGUUUUUGGUGCUACAUACAGCACAACAACCAAUUGAAAAUGCAAACAUUGCAAGUUCACAUCCCUCACCCGGUUUAGCCAGCAGUCAUGACAUUUGGAAAAUAGUUCCCUCUGCUAACAAGGAAGAAAAUUCCCUCAAGAACCUGUAUUGUAUGCAACUGUGAAACUGUUAAAAUGCUAACCCUCGGGCAGCGGAUGAACAGUGAGCAUGAGUCUUGAAAUGUGGCAUCUGUAAACAGAAGUUGCUCAAAGUAAUGCUUUUCAGAUUUUAAUGGGUCCCAUUGACCAAUGAAAUUAAAUGCGGGCGAGGUCUGCCACGUCGAUGCAUAUAAAUGAGGAUAUUCAUAUUGUAACAACGUUUGGCACGUAUGUUGCAAACACUGUUCAGACUCAAUAUGCUAUGCAAGAGCUAUACUAUGCAUGCAAACCUUAUUCUGAAAUCUUAUUCUGAAAGUUGGCACCCAAGCCCAGAGGUGAGUGUCUAACCCACACAAUAUUUUAGGCAACACUGACAGGAUUUAGAAUGACCUUGGAUUAAUGAUGACUCUUAUCAUAGAGAUCUGGCAUUUACUAAAUUGAUUGGCCCUGGAUGCUGGUGCAUGGUGGAGGAUGACAUUUAUUAUUUUUCCUUCUUUCAAAUGUUCUUACAGAGAAGACAGAAGUGUGCGUUGCCUUGUAGUUUAGAGGGAUUUGAAACCAAAAGCCCUUUGUUAAAUGAUUCAACCAUCAAACUUUCUGUUCCACAAAAACCCGUUUGAUAGAUAUCUCCAUAGCAAAACUGAUUUGAUGUUUUUGAAUGUUUUUUUCACAUGCUAAUGAAAAAUUCUCUUUAAUUUCGAGAAGUGUAAUGGAACUGAAAGUGAAAAUUCUGAAAAUGGUGUUCAACUAAAAGUGGUAGAGUCCCAAGAUACCAUAUAUAUGAAAUGACCUUUGGGAGCUUCCUUUUAGAGCUUGCCUUUUAACUCUGCAAGUCUGAGAAACUAAGAGGAAAUAAGUGAUGACACAAGUCAGCAACAUUAUACAUUAGUCAACUGUCUUGAGCAUUAACAUGGAAAAUUGGGGGAAAAACAUAUUUUGUGUAUUGGAGACAUGUGCCCACUGACUCAUUUAAAAG
Esox lucius (northern pike) is the source of this 3224-nucleotide long non-coding RNA. Lineage: Eukaryota; Metazoa; Chordata; Actinopteri; Esociformes; Esocidae. The record is from Ensembl.